This 433-nucleotide ribosomal RNA is filed under the name uncultured bacterium. RNAcentral's name for it is "partial 16S ribosomal RNA". It matches the Rfam family "Bacterial small subunit ribosomal RNA", at positions 29 to 507 of the family's 1533-position model. The record is from RNAcentral.
AACGAACGCUGGCGGCAUGCCUAACACAUGCAAGUCGAACGAGACCUUCGGGUCUAGUGGCGCACGGGUGCGUAACGCGUGGGAACCUGCCCUUAGGUUCGGAAUAACUCCCCGAAAGGGGUGCUAAUACCGGAUAAUGUCUUCGGACCAAAGAUUUAUCGCCUUUGGAUGGGCCCGCGUUGGAUUAGCUAGUUGGUAGGGUAAAAGCCUACCAAGGCGACGAUCCAUAGCUGGUCUGAGAGGAUGAUCAGCCACACUGGGACUGAGACACGGCCCAGACUCCUACGGGAGGCAGCAGUGGGGAAUAUUGGACAGUGGGCGAAAGCCUGAGCCAGCAAUGCCGCGUGAGUGAUGAAGGCCUUAGGGUUGUAAAGCUCUUUUACCCGGGAUGAUAAUGACAGUACCGGGAGAAUAAGCUCCGGCUAACUCCGUG